Molecule: ribosomal RNA, 879 nt
Filed under: uncultured Bacteroidota bacterium
Lineage: Bacteria; Pseudomonadati; Bacteroidota
Description: bacterial SSU rRNA
Rfam family: Bacterial small subunit ribosomal RNA
Source: RNAcentral
CCUUUGCGCCAAGCCUAUACAUGCAAGUCGAACGGUAAGGUUUCUUCGGAGACACACGAGUGGCGCACGGGUGCGUAACGCGUAUGCAACCUACCUUUAACUGGGAGAUAGCCCCGAGAAAUCGGGAAUAAUACCCCAUAAUAUUCAAAACACACCUGUUUUUUGAAUCAAAGUUCCGGCGGUUAAAGAUGGGCAUGCGUGGCAUUAGCUAGUUGGUAAGGUAACGGCUUACCAAGGCGAUGAUGCCUAGGGGUUCUGAGAGGAUAUACCCCCACACUGGUACUGAGACACGGACCAGACUCCUACGGGAGGCAGCAGUAAGGAAUAUUGGGCAAUGGACGCAAGUCUGACCCAGCCAUGCCGCGUGCAGGAUGACUGCCCUAUGGGUUGUAAACUGCUUUUAUACGGGAAAAAAAUAUCCGACGUGUCGGAAGCUGAUGGUACCGUAUGAAUAAGCAUCGGCUAACUCCGUGCCAGCAGCCGCGGUAAUACGGAGGAUGCAAGCGUUAUCCGGAUUUAUUGGGUUUAAAGGGUGCGCAGGCGGAAUGAUAAGUCAGUGGUGAAAGCUUCCGGCUCAACCGGAAAAUUGCCAUUGAUACUAUCGUUCUUGAGUACAGUUGAGGUAGGCGGAAUGUGUCAUGUAGCGGUGAAAUGCUUAGAUAUGACACAGAACACCGAUAGCGAAGGCAGCUUACCAAAUUGAAACUGACGCUCAUGCACGAAAGCGUGGGGAUCAAACAGGAUUAGAUACCCUGGUAGUCCACGCUGUAAACGAUGAUCACUCGCUGUUGGCAAUACACAGUCAGCGGCUAAGCGAAAGCAUUAAGUGAUCCACCUGGGGAGUACGGCGGCAACGUUGAAACUCAAAGGAAUUGACGG